RNAcentral lists this ribosomal RNA (253 nucleotides) under uncultured bacterium. Its description in RNAcentral is "partial 16S ribosomal RNA". It matches the Rfam family "Bacterial small subunit ribosomal RNA", at positions 524 to 776 of the family's 1533-position model. The record is from RNAcentral.
UACGUAGGGCGCAAGCGUUGUCCGGAAUUAUUGGGCGUAAAGAGCUCGUAGGCGGUUUGUCGCGUCUGCUGUGAAAACUCGAGGCUCAACCUCGGGCUUGCAGUGGGUACGGGCAGACUAGAGUGCGGUAGGGGUGACUGGAAUUCCUGGUGUAGCGGUGGAAUGCGCAGAUAUCAGGAGGAACACCGAUGGCGAAGGCAGGUCACUGGGCCGCAACUGACGCUCAUGCACGACAGCGUGGGGAUCAAACAGG